Molecule: long non-coding RNA, 999 nt
Filed under: Marmota monax (woodchuck)
Lineage: Eukaryota; Metazoa; Chordata; Mammalia; Rodentia; Sciuridae
Source: RNAcentral
CAAUUCUAAAGUACAAUGAAAACCCAUAUCAUGAUAUUAAUUUGAUAAAAAAGACAAUUCAAAGCCAAGAGAGUACUUAGACAUGUCAUUUCAUUAAACAGUAUAAACUCUGAUGUGUUAUAGGCACAGUGGAACCAAUAAGCCAUUAACAUGACAUCAUGCAAUAGCCAAGAGCAUAAUAUGAACCAGCUUUGUACAAGAGCAGGUAUGAACACAAAGCAGAAAGUAAAAUGUUCAAUCAAUUAAUGUAAACAGAGUUAUACAAGCUUGCCUAUUGGUAGGUUAUAAAUCAUUGUGUCUCAGUGGGGAAGUCUAUUAUAAUUGCAUAACAAAGCUUAGUGAUUCUAAAUACUCUACAGUAAAUCUUCUAUCAGUCUUGGCUUGGAAUCUCUGUCCCAAGAGCUAACUGUUACUUGUUGUGUUCAGCCCAAAUCAAUGCCCAGAGAAGAUUUUAGUGAAAGGACUUGUGAGCAGACCUCCAAAUGUUCCCAUACUAGAUCUGGAUAAAUACCCACUAGCUCAGUGGCUUAUGUUGACUCUUGAAACAUGCAAAGGCAAGCUGGAAUAUGUGAGAACAAGCAUUUAGGGUUAGAACUAAAUAAACACUCCAGAGAAGCCAGAGAAAAUUAAUAGUCACUCAAGGAAAUAGGCAUCCAGACAUUUUCAGCUUUUAAAAUGAACACUGGAAGAUUUUUUUCCUAGACAAAUGUGCCCUCUAAAUCUCAAAAGAAGGCUCACUGAAGCUGAAAACCCUUUACCCCAUCUCAGAUAAAAUCUAAAACAAGCAACAUUGAAACGACAGGGAGCCACAAUGAGAAAUUUGGAACAUUAAAAGUUUAGCAAAUCAAACUGCAACCAACUUAGAUCACCUGAGUUCCUUUUCUUCUGCCAUUUGAAAUUUCCAUACAGCUUUCCAUUUCUACAAUUAUAACCUUUAAAUGAUUAUAUAAAUAUUGACAAGAAAACUAGUUUCCACCCAGACUCUGAGACUAAUACCCC